Molecule: ribosomal RNA, 253 nt
Filed under: uncultured bacterium
Lineage: Bacteria
Description: partial 16S ribosomal RNA
Rfam family: Bacterial small subunit ribosomal RNA
Source: RNAcentral
UACGUAGGGGGCGAGCGUUGUCCGGAAUUAUUGGGCGUAAAGAGCGUGUAGGCGGUUCGGUAAGUCUGCCGUGAAAACCUGGGGCUCAACCCUGGGCGUGCGGUGGAUACUGCCGGGCUAGAGGGUGGUAGAGGCGAGUGGAAUUCCCGGUGUAGCGGUGAAAUGCGCAGAUAUCAGGAGGAACACCAGCGGCGAAGGCGCUGCUCUGGGCCGGUACUGACGCUGAGGAGCGAAAGCGUGGGGAGCGAACAGG